GACGAACGCUGGCGGCGUGCUUAACACAUGCAAGUCGAACGGAAAGGCCCUGCUUUUGUGGGGUGCUCGAGUGGCGAACGGGUGAGUAACACGUGAGUAACCUGCCCUUGACUUUGGGAUAACUUCAGGAAACUGGGGCUAAUACCGGAUAGGAGCUCCUGCUGCAUGGUGGGGGUUGGAAAGUUUCGGCGGUUGGGGAUGGACUCGCGGCUUAUCAGCUUGUUGGUGGGGUAGUGGCUUACCAAGGCUUUGACGGGUAGCCGGCCUGAGAGGGUGACCGGCCACAUUGGGACUGAGAUACGGCCCAGACUCCUACGGGAGGCAGCAGUGGGGGAUAUUGCACAAUGGGCGGAAGCCUGAUGCAGCAACGCCGCGUGCGGGAUGACGGCCUUCGGGUUGUAAACCGCUUUCGCCUGUGACGAAGCGUGAGUGACGGUAAUGGGUAAAGAAGCACCGGCUAACUAAGGG
RNAcentral lists this ribosomal RNA (468 nucleotides) under uncultured bacterium. Its description in RNAcentral is "partial 16S ribosomal RNA". It matches the Rfam family "Bacterial small subunit ribosomal RNA", at positions 28 to 507 of the family's 1533-position model. The record is from RNAcentral.